UAGGAAUUCUGUCUAGAAAUCAACAGGAAAUUGUUAUAUUUACUGUUUGAAAAUUAAGUUUUAACAAAAUUUAUACAUUUUUUUGUGUGCAUUAUGCCUUCAAGAAUUCACGGCAAGUUUGUUACAGAGCGCAAGAAAUAUUUGGAAGAACAGAUACAAGUUCUGGAACCUGUUUUGGGAAAUAUGAAAAAUGUUGUUGCAAAAAGUAAGGCGUGGCUAGAAGAAAAAACUGACCAAUCAUCUGUCAGCUACAUCGAGCUAUCACAAGAACUGGACACAGCAGCCACGGCCUUGUUGGAUGUGACGUCAU
Physella acuta is the source of this 310-nucleotide long non-coding RNA. RefSeq lists it as uncharacterized. NCBI's taxonomy places the organism in Eukaryota, Metazoa, Mollusca, Gastropoda, Physidae. The record is from RefSeq and is a predicted model, not a curated record.